CCUGGCUCAGAUUGAACGCUGGCGGCAGGCCUAACACAUGCAAGUCGAACGGUAGCACAGAGAGCUUGCUCUUGGGUGACGAGUGGCGGACGGGUGAGUAAUGUCUGGGAAACUGCCCGAUGGAGGGGGAUAACUACUGGAAACGGUAGCUAAUACCGCAUAACGUCGCAAGACCAAAGUGGGGGACCUUCGGGCCUCACACCAUCGGAUGUGCCCAGAUGGGAUUAGCUAGUAGGUGGGGUAAUGGCUCACCUAGGCGACGAUCCCUAGCUGGUCUGAGAGGAUGACCAGCCACACUGGAACUGAGACACGGUCCAGACUCCUACGGGAGGCAGCAGUGGGGAAUAUUGCACAAUGGGCGCAAGCCUGAUGCAGCCAUGCCGCGUGUAUGAAGAAGGCCUUCGGGUUGUAAAGUACUUUCAGCGAGGAGGAAGGCAUUGUGGUUAAUAACCGCAGUGAUUGACGUUACUCGCAGAAGAAGCACCGGCUAACUCCGUGCCAGCAGCCGCGGU
This 512-nucleotide ribosomal RNA is filed under the name Kluyvera intermedia. RNAcentral describes it as "bacterial SSU rRNA". It matches the Rfam family "Bacterial small subunit ribosomal RNA", at positions 18 to 521 of the family's 1533-position model. The record is from RNAcentral. Lineage: Bacteria; Pseudomonadati; Pseudomonadota; Gammaproteobacteria; Enterobacterales; Enterobacteriaceae.